Molecule: ribosomal RNA, 482 nt
Filed under: uncultured bacterium
Lineage: Bacteria
Description: partial 16S ribosomal RNA
Rfam family: Bacterial small subunit ribosomal RNA
Source: RNAcentral
AUUGAACGCUGGCGGCAUGCUCUACACAUGCAAGUCGAACGGUAACAGGCCGCAAGGUGCUGACGAGUGGCGAACGGGUGAGUAAUGCAUCGGAACGUGCCCAGUCGUGGGGGAUAACUACUCGAAAGAGUAGCUAAUACCGCAUACGAUCUAUGGAUGAAAGCGGGGGACCGUAAGGCCUCGCGCGAUUGGAGCGGCCGAUGUCAGAUUAGGUAGUUGGUGGGGUAAAGGCUCACCAAGCCAACGAUCUGUAGCUGGUCUGAGAGGACGACCAGCCACACUGGGACUGAGACACGGCCCAGACUCCUACGGGAGGCAGCAGUGGGGAAUUUUGGACAGAGGGCGCAAGCCUGAUCCAGCAAUGCCGCGUGCAGGAAGAAGGCCUUCGGGUUGUAAACUGCUUUUGUACGGAACGAAACGGCUCUGGUUAAUACCCGGGGCUAAUGACGGUACCGUAAGAAUAAGCACCGGCUAACUACGUG